Molecule: long non-coding RNA, 209 nt
Filed under: Glycine max (soybean)
Lineage: Eukaryota; Viridiplantae; Streptophyta; Magnoliopsida; Fabales; Fabaceae
Description: long non-coding RNA (GMAX_LNC004039)
Source: RNAcentral
GUUCUUUCAAACCACAAUUCCAGAAAAUCCACCUCUGCCCAGAAUUAUCUCGUGGCCAUAACUCCCAUUUUACGCACUCAAAUUAAGUGAUUCUUGAGCCUAAAUUGAAUUUCAAAACGAGACCUCUCACCUCGUUUUGGAAUCACCUCAUUUGGAGCCCUGUAGCUUCAGUUAUUGCCAUUUCUAUAUUUCUGUCCAGCCACCACUUA